UGUAAUCCCAGGAAGAGUGGACCCAUAAGGCUGGCAUCCUGGACUACAGACACUAAACUGCAGAACUCAAGGAAGCACACUGGACCUGUUUUUAUGUAAAUUCACAGCUAGACGGUGGUGGUGUAUGCCUUUAAUCCUCACACUGAGGCAAAGGCAGACGGAUCUCUGAGUUCGAGGCCAGCUUGAUCUACAGAGUGAAUACCAGGAUAGCCAGGGCUACACAGAGAAACCCUGCCUGGAAAAACAAACAAACAAAAUACAAACAAGAGGUAAAUUGGCAUCCAACUCAACAUAGUAAAAUUCAACCCUGAAUACUUGUUCAGAUGUAUAAAGCCAUUCUGUGAUUAGUUUUGAGCUUGAAAAUUUCAAUGCAGAUGUUAAAUCUGUUGAUUUCUAUUUAUCUUAUCUUUGUUAUCAUAAAAGACUAUGUAAAAGCAAUUUGCUUCAAGUUGUUGGUGUUCUUUCAUUUUAUGUGUCCCUGCAAUAUGGGAAGAAAUAGUAAGUCAUACUCACCUCCUGUUACCU
This 525-nucleotide long non-coding RNA is filed under the name Cricetulus griseus (Chinese hamster). RNAcentral's name for it is "lncRNA (ENSCGRG00015042573.1)". Lineage: Eukaryota; Metazoa; Chordata; Mammalia; Rodentia; Cricetidae. The record is from RNAcentral.